RNAcentral lists this transfer RNA (73 nucleotides) under Mus musculus (house mouse). RNAcentral describes it as "tRNA-Ser". Lineage: Eukaryota; Metazoa; Chordata; Mammalia; Rodentia; Muridae. The record is from RNAcentral.
GGAGAGGUGGUUCAGCGGUUAAGAGCUCUGACUGCUCUUCCAGAGGUCCUGAGUUCAAUUCCCAGCAACCACA